UGCCGGCGCCGCCCGCGCGAGGUCCGCGCUUCGNCUAGGAUGCUGGCGUAAUGGUCGCAUGCGCCCCGUCUUGAAACACGGACCAAGGAGUCUCACAUCUGUGCGAGUGUUCGGGUGUCAAACCCCUACGCGGAAUGAAAGUGAAACGAAGGUGGGAGCUUCGGCGCACCAUCGACCGAUCCUGAUGUCCUCGGAUGGAUUUGAGUAAGAGCAUAGCUGUUGGGACCCGAAAGAUGGUGAAGCUAUGCCUGAAUAGGGGUGAAGCCAGAGGAAACCUCUGGUGGAGGCUCGCAGCGGUUCUGACGUGCAAAUCGAUCGUCAAAUUUGGGUAUAGGGGGCAAAGACUAAUC
This 350-nucleotide ribosomal RNA is filed under the name Xanthoriicola physciae. RNAcentral describes it as "LSU rRNA". It matches the Rfam family "Eukaryotic large subunit ribosomal RNA", at positions 584 to 936 of the family's 3401-position model. The record is from RNAcentral. Lineage: Eukaryota; Fungi; Ascomycota; Dothideomycetes; Mycosphaerellales; Teratosphaeriaceae.